Molecule: long non-coding RNA, 1220 nt
Organism: Drosophila obscura
Lineage: Eukaryota; Metazoa; Arthropoda; Insecta; Diptera; Drosophilidae
Exons: 2
Source: RefSeq, a predicted model, not a curated record
ACGUGACUUAUAAAUGAUUUUAAAAAUUAUAAUUUAUAAAAAAUACGUCUGGAGCGCCUUUUUAGACCUGGACAAGGGAUGGAUAUUCGAUGUGGAAUCCAUAUCAGUGAGACUAUGAGCGGCUGCACAAUCUGAAUCGACCAUGCUUGAGUCUCCCCCGUCCAUAAUAAAGUCAUAAAACUUAGGUAAAAAAAUUAUCAUAUAUUAUUUAUCAUUAUUAUGUAUGUACUCUUAGUUACUUCUCUAUUCGUCUUCGCGUUAGAAAACAACGCUUAAACACUUUGCACUAUUUAAAACUGCAUUGAGAAGCAUCUUAGAAAUGCAUUCAAUCGUCAAUAAAAUUGUGACUGCAACCAGCACACAAUCAGCAAUGGUUUAGUUAAUUCGUAAGUGUACAGAGAGAAUCGCAGGAAUGCACAUAAUGUUCAGUUUUUUUAGCUUAAAAUUAAUACAAAAUGCGUGAAAUGGACUUGAAUUUUGCAUGUGUCUACAGAGUUUCAUAUUGCAAACAUAAAAUGGAACUGGAAAGCCAAGUUUUUGGGGGUCAUCCUCAGCGGACGUUGCACAUAUUGCCGGGGAUAGUUAUAAUUCAGCUAUGAAAGGAGUUUUGGGAAGGAUAUAGAAUUUAGAUCCAGAGUUCCAGAAAGAAGUAUCUUCAGAUUUGUUUUUAUUGCUACUGUCUGUCACAUGGAACGGUUUACGCAGCGCGAAUCGACUGAAUGAUCUGGAAAAUAGCCGAGCCGCAGACAACAAAGAUGAACAGCGCCAAGAGCCAGGGUCCAACGGGGUACUGUCCCUCUUUCGCUUUCUGAAAAUGCCAAUUAUAAAUCAGAAUUAGUCAAUGCAUCACAGAUAUGCACAUUAGAUGGAGAGCCGGGCCGGUGUAUGAGCUGACGAACGCAACAGCUAAUCACGAAGAAGCGAUAACAUUCGCCACCCAUACAAAAACUUCCUCCACGCUUACGCACACUGGCGCACGCACACAGCAGCAGCAAGCAAUAAUAAAAUCAAUGACGGCGUGGCACUUUUUAAGAUUGAAUGUAUCAGGCUAAGCUCGUGCGAGGUGCAUUCCAUGCAUUUUUGAUUCGAGCUAAUUACAUUUUGAACCAAAACUUACCGAGGAUUUUGGUACAUUGCCACGCAUUGUCACAUAUUUGCUGGCCUUCUCGUUGGCGACGCGCAUUCUCUGUGGAGGAGCCAUUUUAUGUGUUGUUGUGACU